Molecule: long non-coding RNA, 838 nt
Filed under: Rattus norvegicus (Norway rat)
Lineage: Eukaryota; Metazoa; Chordata; Mammalia; Rodentia; Muridae
Description: long non-coding RNA NONRATT001979
Source: RNAcentral
GGAAUGCACGCGCGCCCUCCUCACUAACGGUCCCACUGGUCUUCGCCAACUGCAAAGCUCAGGCAAGUGCAGACUCCUCUGCCUCCUCCAGCCCAGAGCAAGCUCGGGAAGGUCCUAAACUUGCCUAAAUUCCCAGGGGCAGGUGUGAGGUAAUGCACUUGGCCACAGGGUAACACAGUGGACCCAUGCAGAGCCAAGAAAGCCGCACAGGGACAGGCUGGUGAUGUUGAAAGCUCAUAGAGACCAGCGUUUCCCACCAGAACUAGAUGUGAAGACCCUUUCAUUGAAAAACUCCAUGUUCUUUGGCUUCGGGAAAGAGCAAAACCAAGCUGCAACUGAUCUGGAAGCUUCCUUCCUGCUGGCUAGCUUCCCUGAUGCUGGACUGUGCUUUGCAGGUUCUGGGAGAGAAAGACAGGCUUAAGUCAGUUCUGGACCCUACAUGCUGCAUGACUGACCUGCCGAGCAGUAUGCUACUAGGGUGAUGGUCUUAUCACCAUUAAGGGAACAGCCAGCUGCUUUUGUCUAGAUCUGAGGUCAGCUCCUCUUGGAAUUCACACCAAGUGCUAGAAAGCUGCUUGGCGGCCCUUGGCUGGGAGCCACUAGGUCCUGCUGUGGAAGGUUCUACUGUUUUGCUAAAUGACCGUGCUAGCCAGCAAAUUGCCUUCUGAGCAGUUCUGUCUAUGCCUACGUAUUAGUGGUGCCCUCAGUUUUGGUCACACAGACAUUUUCAGUUGGCGGCAGUUACUGCAGUGGAGACUCAGGGUCAAAGUGCUAAGGUUUGGUGACUGCUGAAGACCCAGCACUAAAGAGGACAUCAGUAUCAUUCCACGGGCCAGGG